CAACCCUUAAGCCUAGCUUAGUGUUGGGAAUCUGUCCGCAAGGACAGUUCCUCAAAUCCAACGGCGGAUCUGUGGUAUCCUCUGAGCGUAGUAAAUCUUUAUCUCGCUUUCGUCAGGUGCCGCUGCUCUCAGCCGCCUAAACCCCCAAUUUUUUUGUGG
This 159-nucleotide unclassified non-coding RNA is filed under the name uncultured Pestalotiopsis. Its description in RNAcentral is "sequence contains ITS2". Lineage: Eukaryota; Fungi; Ascomycota; Sordariomycetes; Amphisphaeriales; Amphisphaeriaceae. The record is from RNAcentral.